Long non-coding RNA from Protopterus annectens (West African lungfish), 518 nucleotides. RefSeq lists it as uncharacterized. The record is from RefSeq and is a predicted model, not a curated record. The transcript is spliced from 3 exons. Lineage: Eukaryota; Metazoa; Chordata; Ceratodontiformes; Protopteridae.
ACUGACCAUCACCUACUCGUCUGAAAGUUGUUGUCAAACAAAAGUAAUCCAGAAACUGAUACAAGAGACAGACGUUUCCAUAAUAUAAAAGGGACACUAGCUUUCUGAGCUGGAAUUGCCUGGAUUUACAGUAACAGCUUUCUAGUCUGAUAAGCUAGACCAGUAUGUUUAUAAUAUCAGCGCAGAAAUACUAUUGAUUUAAUUAUUGUAACUGUGAAGACUGUGAUGUAAAUGUCAACCCUGUUGACGCAACAUUCAAGCUGGUAUUACCCAAUACAAUUUAAGACGAUGCAUUAGAUUUACUUUCCCCUGUUGGGAGUUUGCCAAGGCGUUGCAGCCUGAGUCAACUGAUCGGUAACCUGCUACAAUGCUCACAUGACAGUCAUUGACUUUAACAAUCCAACAUGGCUGCGCUGUACGGCGGAGUGGAAGGAGGAGGUACUCAUUCUAAAGCAGUUUUAAUUUCUGAAGAUGGGCAUAUCCUGGCCGAAACAGCUGGGCCUUCCACAAAUCAUUGG